This 259-nucleotide ribosomal RNA is filed under the name uncultured bacterium. RNAcentral describes it as "partial 16S ribosomal RNA". It matches the Rfam family "Bacterial small subunit ribosomal RNA", at positions 95 to 354 of the family's 1533-position model. The record is from RNAcentral.
UUGGCGGACGGGUGAGUAACGCGUGGGUAACCUGCCUUACACAGGGGGAUAACACUUAGAAAUAGGUGCUAAUACCGCAUGAGCGCACAGGACCGCAUGGUCGAGUGUGAAAAACUGAGGUGGUGUAAGAUGGACCCGCGUCUGAUUAGCUAGUUGGUGAGGUAACGGCCCACCAAGGCGACGAUCAGUAGCCGGCCUGAGAGGGUGGACGGCCACAUUGGGACUGAGACACGGCCCAAACUCCUACGGAAGGCAGCAG